GGCACCAAGGGCCACUCCGUGUUAAAGCGAAGGACACACAGCAUGCCGGUGAGACGGCAACAACCCGUCUUUGUCCCCAGGGCCAGCUACGCAUACAAGCCCUCACGCCAUGACUACGGCAUCGAUGACAGCAUCAACAGAGUCGAAUACUUUUCGAAUGCCGUCCUGGAGGACAAUUACGAUGCCGCGGCCAAGUCCAGAGGGAGGGAUUAUGAGCUGCUGAGAAACGCCAACGCGGCCAUCCGUCCGUCCAGCCGAUCACCGUCUCGCUCGGGUGAAACUCGGACUGGCCGUCAAUCCAAACGCUUCCGGUCACUCCCACCGGUAGAAGUGCGGUCUCCCUCGCCUCCCCGGGCCGUGGUGCCCUACAGAAAGCAGGAGAAGCUGCUUCGGUCCAACUUGCCGUUAGCUCCGUCGCCCAAUUCUCUCCUGUCUAGCCGGAUCAACACUUACCUGAGGGGUUCCUCCAUGCCCCCAGCGGCCCCGCUCUCCGGCAACACCCGCGCUUCUUCAAUCUCGUACAAAUCUUUCCUCAAGGAUCCGCCCACAGCGUCAGGUUCGAACGACAUGCGGUCCACCGUGUCCUAUAGGUCCUAUCUCUCCGAUCCGUCCGUGCUCAGCCCUUUGUCCACAAGGAGCAGCUCCAAAGUCUACCGAGGUUACGUCCCCUCUAGCCUUACAUACUCUCAGAAGUACCCGUCGUCUUACCGAACCCGCUAUGAUGACGACGACGAUAAUGAUUACGUCGAUGACGAUGGAGAGGAAUACGAGCCUGGAUCUUACAGAAGGAAGUACAAGAUCUUGAGAGGACCGGCUGCUCUAACCUAUUCGAAGCAUGGCGCUGAGGAUGAAGACGAAGAAGACGAGCCUUACUAUGAGACAGCAAGCGAGUAUGGUACGUAUUCUUCUCCGAGACCCUCUGGUGUGUCUGCCCUCAAGUUGAGCUCCUACGACGCCCCAUAUGACGGCUCGUAUGAUGCUGAUAUGGCUGAAAUGUACGACUACGUUCCCUUUGGCCCCUCCCGACAGGGAAUCCUCGAGUUGACGUCGGACGACACACCCAGCAUCCGCCCCCUUCCUUCCUUAACCACGCCCUCUGUAACUCACAGAUCCUCGCCCUACCCUGAAGAUCCCCUUCCCAGUGUGUCCCUUGUCCCAUCCUACACUAAGAACCUGGAUGACUCCCUAACAAAGCCAUCUUACGCCGACAACUCCAUGAUAGAUUCGAUUGUUUCCAGUACUGCGGCACGUGCAAAGGCAGUCAUGGCCGAGUCAAAUCUCCCAUCCUACAAAAACGCCAGCUUGGUUUUAAGUGUUGAAGGAAGCGCAGUCUCUCCAGAUGGGAAGAAUAGGUAUGGUUUCCGCUACUACCCCCCACCCAUCCCCUUAAAGGGUUCCACCAUAGGCUUAGAUGAGAGAAUUCUGGGCAUAACCCCCAAGCCAACCACCCCGGCGGAUUCUUUUCUGGGCAAGUACCUGGACCGCCUGCGCGAUGUGCGCUCAGACAUUAGGGACCAUGUAGACAAGGGCGACUAUCGGCCAGCCAGCCGCAGUAGUAGCGUCGUCCCCAGUCGAAGCCCCUCCUCAUAUGUUCACCGCACCAUUCACAUGCCGCUUAACAUCGCAGGCCGAGAAAACAGCGUGCCCGUCUCCUCCUACCGGUCGCGUUUGGACGACGGCCAGUCUCACAGAGUGGAUGUGUACCCACUGGUGGUGAGUGAGACCAGCGUGCCCGCUGGCCGAAGCUUCCACCUGCCCGUCUACCAGGCCCGAGGCAGCGGUCGCGGCGGAGGCGGAGACACCCCCAACAGGCUUACCGUGCUAGAGAAAAUUAAUAUCAAGGCCGCCAUUAUCGGAAGCCGAAUGGAGGCUGGGGAUGGAGCCAAGAAGGUCAAGCGACCCCGAUCGCAGUUUGCGGCCGACAAGCUGCGCGAGUUUAAGAUUCAGGACAUCGAGGAGGGGGUUUACUAUCGUCCAGCCAAUGCAUCUGGUUCCCUCCGUGCAUCUCGACCCCCAUUGCCAAAACAAUCGGACAGAAAGGCAAUCAGAGACGUAGACGGUUUCACAAAACCUAGGAACGUCUAUUCCUGGCAGUACCGCGUGGAGUCCCGGCUCAGCCCUGACGAUCUUAUCUACCAGCCCUCUAGUUAUAUCCGACUCAGAGAACAGGUGCGGGACGUGCAAGAAAAGAUGGACCGCCAACGUCAACUGCUUGAUCGCUACCUUGACACUGAUAAUAUGUCAACAAGCACCUAUCGCAAGCCGGUGGAGAUCCUGAUAACAGACCCGUGUCAGACCUUCGUCGUAAACUAAGAAGGACGAUCGCCAAGGCGAAGAACAACCCGGACUACUACCGAGAGUAGCUCGUCAAGGGAAUUUACUCCAUGGCCACAGACACGGGAGGAGACGCUACAAGUAAGGCGUAAGAGGCUCUGGGCUCCAGCUUGAUACACCUGACAGUUCUCGCCGGCACAUCUGCUUGAUUCGCCCCUGUGUGUGUGUACGCGUGUGUCUGCUUCGGCUUUCUACCUACACAGUCGCCAACAGUUACAUGGUGGGGUUUUUUUUGGCUCGGACAUUGAACGGAAUGCCAACACGCCAGUGGAAUCUGGGGUCUCGAUCGAAAUUUUCAAUUGGGCGAAGCCGUUCAUCUUUUGUUUUGUGACCACUCGUACGAGCUUGACUGUUGGUGACGUAAAUGCACAAGGUCAUUGGUAUUUUUGCCCCAGAUAUAUAUGAUCCAUAAUCCAAUGCGUGGAUGCAUGCAAGAUGGCGAGGAAUAUUCAUUACUCUAACACAUUUUGAGGCCCAAGAGAAUCUUAGAGAGGAAAGAUGGAUUGCCAUGUUAUAGCUUGUUGGAAUAUGGCAUUAAAGUAUAGUCUUGCAUUUUGCUUUGACAAGAACUGUCAAGCUGUGUUUUUAUCAUUAUAUACGUUGAGAGUUGUUUUUGGGGUUUAAAAGAAAUAUAUAUGUACACUGUAUAUGAUACUGUUCUUCCCACAAAGUACCACUACACCUUUGUCCUGUUUGUUCUUUUUAACUUUUCGAUUCAUUUACAGUCUUUGAGACUCUCUUUCUGUUAUUUCGGCUAUUUGCCUUUACAUUUUAAAUUAAAACUCAAAGUGAUUCCUACCUCUCUGAGCUCCGUUUCAUGACAAAAUAUAUGGUAAUCUCACUCUUCUAUGAUUGAUGUUUGAGUUUCUGAUGAAGUUAUUUAAUUUGUCAUUUCGCAGUCUGCCCAGUGUAUAUGCGCAAACCACUUCUUUGUCCUUGUCAUCAAGUGUACAAAGGGGUGUUUGUUUCCUAAUGACAAUGAUAAGAUUCAAGGAAUAAACACAAUCACAUAUCGUCUACUUGCGAACUUCCUCCUGUGUUUGCGGCCUUAGUGUAUAGUUAUUUUAAUUUAAGAUAUUCAUUUGUUAAAUAAAUGUACAUAACACUCAUUACGAAACUACUAAGGCUGUGAAAGAGACUUGUGGCGUUUAUUUUUUUUCUUUCUUAUUUUAGAUAUAUUUUUAGGAUAAUCCUGUACUUUUUUUUUACUUCUGUUCCUUACCCAAACCAGCUUAUAAAUUCCUGAAAGAUAAGAAAUGAUACAUGAUGACCAUUACUUUAUCUGUUCAGUGUCGCUGUUCAUGCAUGUUUGAAUUAUUUGGAAGCAAUUGAAGACAAGAGAAAAUAGAAAAAUGUAUGCUUUAACCUCAUGCUGCCCGUACAUGUUUGAAUUUAAAGUAUUAUAAGAAAAAUUAUUACUGAUAUUUUUGAAUUUGUCAUAUUAUCAUCAAUAUUAUUUUUAUUUAUUUAGAGCAUCGAAUUCUAGUUUAAACUUAUUUGUUUAUUUUCUGUACAUCCGUCCAUUUUGGUGUUUACAUGCAGUGUGUCUGUCAUUAUUUGCUUUAAAUGAAAUCAUCAUAAAAAACUCUGUACAUUUUGUUCAUAAAAACGACAGAGAUGUAAAGAAUUAGUUGCUUUGUUGGUUUGGAGUUGGGUGCUAUAUUUUUUUCUUCUUCUUUCAUCUAAAUAAAAUAAUACUCUAGCCUCGCUUUCAUUUUAUUGUGAAGUCAGCGAUAAGAUGACGACAAUAUUUGGUAGCGUCCCAUUUAAUUAUUUUUUUCUGUCCACUCUGAAGCCGUUCCGCGUACUCUGAGUUUAUACACUAGGAAAAUAAAAAAAUUGCACCAUCUGCAACAAAGAA
This 4195-nucleotide unclassified non-coding RNA is filed under the name Aplysia californica (California sea hare). Its description in RNAcentral is "uncharacterized LOC101852657, transcript variant X1". Lineage: Eukaryota; Metazoa; Mollusca; Gastropoda; Aplysiida; Aplysiidae. The record is from RNAcentral.